GAGUUUGAUCCUGGCUCAGAACGAACGCUGGCGGCGUGCCUAACACAUGCAAGUCGAACGUGAUCCAGAGCUUGCUCUGGUGAAAGUGGCGCACGGGUGAGUAACGCGUGGAUAACCUACCCUGGUAUCCGGGAUAACAUUCCGAAAGGGGUGCUAAUACCGGAUAAGCCCACGGGCUCUUUGGAGCUUGCGGGGAAAGGUGGCCUCUAUUUAUAAGCUACUGUAUCAGGAUGGGUCCGCGUACCAUUAGCUAGUUGGCGGUGUAACGGACCACCAAGGCGACGAUGGUUAGCUGGUCUGAGAGGAUGAUCAGCCACACUGGAACUGAGACACGGUCCAGACUCCUACGGGAGGCAGCAGUGGGGAAUUUUGCGCAAUGGGGGAAACCCUGACGCAGCAACGCCGCGUGAGUGAUGAAGGCCCUUGGGUCGUAAAGCUCUGUCAGAGGGGAAGAAAUGAUAUAGUGCUAAUACCACUUUAUCUUGACGGUACCCUCAAAGGAAGCACCGGCUAACUCCGUGCCAGCAGCCGCGGUAAUAC
This 540-nucleotide ribosomal RNA is filed under the name uncultured Geobacteraceae bacterium. Its description in RNAcentral is "bacterial SSU rRNA". It matches the Rfam family "Bacterial small subunit ribosomal RNA", at positions 9 to 526 of the family's 1533-position model. Lineage: Bacteria; Pseudomonadati; Thermodesulfobacteriota; Desulfuromonadia; Geobacterales; Geobacteraceae. The record is from RNAcentral.